RNAcentral lists this unclassified non-coding RNA (355 nucleotides) under Hevea brasiliensis (rubber tree). The record is from RNAcentral. Lineage: Eukaryota; Viridiplantae; Streptophyta; Magnoliopsida; Malpighiales; Euphorbiaceae.
UAUGUGCUGAUGAUUCAAUAUACCAUGCCACCUGCCAUGAAUAUUGGUACAAUGACCCAGCUGUUUAAUGUGGGCCAAGAAGAGUGUUCAGUCCUCUUCAUGUGGACAUACUUGGGUGCAGCCUUAGCACUGACAGCCUGGUCAACUGUCUUCAUGUGGAUUUUGUCCUGAGCAAACCCAAUUUGUCCCCAAACAACAACUAUCAGCAUAGGAGGAUCAUUAUAGAAUAGAAAUAGCCUAGAAAAUGCCCAUUAAUUGGGAUGUGAUUGGUUUGAGAAAAGCUCAAGUAAAUAGCUAUAUAUGUCACAGGGUUUGCUUUAAUUUCUUGCUGUGACAGUUCUUGUACCUAUUAGAG